ACGCACAUUGCGCCCUUUGGUAUUCCGAAGGGCAUGCCUGUUCGAGCGUCAUUGUACCCCUCAAGCAUUGCUUGGUAUUGGGCUUCGCCUCUGUGGCGGUCCAGCUAGACUUCAAGCGUAGCAUGAUUUUCACGAUCCCACUUUGGAAGAUCCCUGCUGCGUGCCGGCCAGAUAACCACAAUUUCUUUAAAUGAUUGACCUCUGAUCAGGUAGGGAUACCCGCUGAACUUAA
Molecule: unclassified non-coding RNA, 232 nt
Filed under: uncultured fungus
Lineage: Eukaryota; Fungi
Description: partial contains 5.8S rRNA and ITS2
Source: RNAcentral